Molecule: unclassified non-coding RNA, 167 nt
Filed under: uncultured fungus
Lineage: Eukaryota; Fungi
Description: sequence contains ITS1
Source: RNAcentral
GCGAGUAAGGCCUUGCCCUAACCGGCUCGGUCAGUCCCAUCAUAUACACCUUUUAUCUGUGAACCCGUUGUGCUGCGAGGUCGAAAGCUUAGGCGAUUAAACCGAGCGGUGCGGCAACCUAUAUACCCUUUAUCUAAAUGGAAACGGAAGUAAAUCAUAAAUUAAUA